Molecule: ribosomal RNA, 814 nt
Filed under: uncultured bacterium
Lineage: Bacteria
Description: bacterial SSU rRNA
Rfam family: Bacterial small subunit ribosomal RNA
Source: RNAcentral
GAAUUCGCCCUUAGAGUUUGUUCCUGACUCAGGACGAACGCUGGCGGCGUGCUUAACACAUGCAAGUCGAACGGAGCACCCCUGAAGGAGUUUUCGGACAACGGAUGGGAAUGCUUAGUGGCGGACUGGUGAGUAACGCGUGAGGAACCUGCCUUCCAGAGGGGGACAACAGUUGGAAACGACUGCUAAUACCGCAUGAUGCGUUGGAGCCGCAUGACUCCGACGUCAAAGAUUUAUCGCUAGAAGAUGGCCUCGCGUCUGAUUAGCUAGUUGGUGAGGUAACGGCCCACCAAGGCGACGAUCAGUAGCCGGACUGAGAGGUUGGCCGGCCACAUUGGGACUGAGAUACGGCCCAGACUCCUACGGGAGGCAGCAGUGGGGAAUAUUGGGCAAUGGACGCAAGUCUGACCCAGCAACGCCGCGUGAAGGAAGAAGGCUUUCGGGUUGUAAACUUCUUUUAAGGGGGAAGAGCAGAAGACGGUACCCGUUGAAUAAGCCCCGGCUAACUACGUGCCAGCAGCCGCGGUAAUACGUAGGGGGCAAGCGUUAUCCGGAUUUACUGGGUGUAAAGGGCGUGCAGCCGGCCCGUCAAGUCAGAUGUGAAAUCCCCGGGCUCAACCCGUGAACUGCAUUUGAAACUGUUUCCCUUGAGUGUCGGAGAGGUAAUCGGAAUUCCUUGUGUAGCGGUGAAAUGCGUAGAUAUAAGGAAGAACACCAGUGGCGAAGGCGGCUUACUGGACGAUAACUGACGGUGAGGCGCGAAAGCGUGGGGAGCAAACAAGAUUAGAUACCCUGGUAGUCCACGCUGUAAACG